CCGAGACGGGAACAACCGAGACCGGGGUUAAGGCCCCUAAGUGCCGGCUAAGUG
Molecule: ribosomal RNA, 54 nt
Filed under: Nanoarchaeum equitans Kin4-M
Lineage: Archaea; Nanobdellati; Nanobdellota; Candidatus Nanoarchaeia; Nanoarchaeales; Nanoarchaeaceae
Description: large subunit ribosomal RNA
Source: RNAcentral